Molecule: long non-coding RNA, 218 nt
Filed under: Lathyrus oleraceus (garden pea)
Lineage: Eukaryota; Viridiplantae; Streptophyta; Magnoliopsida; Fabales; Fabaceae
Description: Pisum sativum (pea) long non-coding RNA (PSAT_LNC025455)
Source: RNAcentral
UUUCUAAGGCUAGACUUCAUCCGAGUCCCGCAAAUAAUACUUUAAGUUAAGUCUCAUAAGCCAGACUUCAGUUGAGUCCCUCGGGUGAGACUUUAGGUUGAAACCUGUUUGACGAGACGCUUAGCCCCUCAGGUGAGGCGUUUAGAGGAGCAUGUAUGACGAAACUCUUAGUCCCUUAGGUGAGGUGUUUAGAGGAGCAUGUCUUAUGAGACUCUAAG